Long non-coding RNA from Gymnodraco acuticeps, 1671 nucleotides. RefSeq lists it as uncharacterized. The record is from RefSeq and is a predicted model, not a curated record. NCBI's taxonomy places the organism in Eukaryota, Metazoa, Chordata, Actinopteri, Perciformes, Bathydraconidae. The transcript is spliced from 3 exons.
CAUAGAGAGAACGAACAAGAGGAAAGAAAGUUCAUUUAAGUGGAGAAAGAUAUAAGAAGGCCGCCAUGUUGUGUCCUUUCUGUGGCCAGCAUCUGGGGACAGUUCAAGUGUUCUGUGGCUCCUGUGGCAAACAUGUACAGUUUUUGGCAGAAGUUGAACACAACAAAGUUGCAAUCAUCCUCCCAGCAUGAAAGUAUUUGUCAUCUUUUGCAGCUGUUGAUAUUUUUUGUUAAAUUAUUAUCACGUUAACCAACAGUUGCCACGUUAUCAUAAAGAUAUACAGUAUAAGAUCAUUUAAUUGUCAAGUAAAUCAAGCUGCAAAAUCCAUAAGCAGCUCCUAUAUUUACAGUACAGUAUUGAACAUAAGACAGAUUUGCGAACAUCAUUACCUGCAUUGUCGAACUUGAGGAAUUUCCUGUCCUGUGGACCAUCAAAUAUUCAGGAACUCACGCUCGGGACCACCAGUGUCCACUCCAUCCUCAGUUUGUCCCUCAUCGUCAGUAAACUUAACCUGCAUCUGAUGAGAGGGGUCCAAUGAGGCCCGUUUGAAGCUGCGGAUUUCUCCAUCCCAUACAUUGGCUCUAUUAAUAUUAAACCUGCUGCAAGAGUUAUUUUUAAUUUUUGCAGAGAGUUCUGCAACAAUGUCUGGCGCAGUCAGGUAUUCUGUGCUGGGAAAGACAAAGUGAUGUAUUGUAAUAUUAAAUGAUGAAGCUAGUAAUAAGAUUUACAGUAUAGAAUAAAAAAAUUAAGUGAUAAAAGUAACAAUUAAUACAUUUCCUCUGCAGUUUGCUCCGUUUCCUCUUCUGGCUCAGACUGACUAUCAAUAAUGAUAAGUGCAUACACAGUUGUGUAGUUGCUGCAUUGAGAAGACAGUUGAAUAAUUACUUUCAAAUACAUAAUAUAUGCAUGACAGUCAUAUUUGCAAAAGGAUGUCGAUCCUCUUCCUGGUUUUUUUAAUACAUUGGGUUCUAAACUGACAACAGCACUUUGUCAUACUCCUGCACAAUCCUUGUAAACAUUUGAAAUGGAUGCAACAAACAAUAUCUGACCUUUGAAAAAUAUUUGUGGGUGUUUUUUGUAUCGUCUUCACUAAGAUGUUGUGGGUGUCCUUUGGAAAUGUAUGAAAGUAUAAUUGUUCUGCUUCCUGGCAAUAUUACCCACUGGGAUUGGGAGGCUAUGCAAACAACCAAAUGUACAAAUAAAAAUACACACCAAACAACUGUGUCACGAUGCAACUGUCAACAUCGUUUACCUAUAGAAGGUGUUCUGACCCGGGGCAGAUUGGACCUCUUCCUGGAAUGGGGUUGGUUCUCCAUCCUACUUUUACCCAAUAAAUAAUGAUGCAGUUUAUCUAAUGACAGUGUCAUUAGCACACAUUACAAAGGUAUUUAUUGAUUUCAUGUUCACAAAUUCAAACCUACAUGGUAUAAUUACAUGUUUAAUUAGUCUUACCCGAUCAGACGCUGGUUGUGGGUGCCUGAGAGGUCUGAUAAAGGUAAACAAAAAAUAUAUUCAAACUACUGUACUGUUAAAACAUUCUGCUUCUUGUGGCACAAAAUAACAUGUUGACAAUGUUUUAUUUUACCCUGGCAAACUGUUGUCCAUUCUGGGAGUGCUCUGUUCAUUUGGAAAGUCCCACACCUGCAUACAACACACAAAUGACUGACUGAA